GAACCCGCACAAGCGGUGGAACAUGUGGUUUAAUUCGAUGUAACACGAAAAACCUUACCAAAAUUUGAUAUUACAAAUAAAAUAUAUUCAUAUUAUUAUUUAGAUAACAGGUAGUGCAUGGCUGUCGUCAGCUUGUGUCGUGAGAUGUUGGGUUAAGUCCUGUAACAAGCGCAACCCUUAUUUUUGUUACUAUUAAAAUAUAAAAUUAAUAGAAUCUAAAAAGACUGCCAUUUAAAAUUGGAGGAAGGAAAGGAUGACGUCAAGUCCUUAUGCUCUUUAUAUUUUGGGCUACACACAUGUUACAAUAAAUAAGACAAUUAGAUCACAACUUUGUAAAAAGAAGUUAAUCAAUAAACUUAUUUUUAGUACAGAUUAUAGGCUGCAACUCGUCUAUAUGAAGGUGGAAUCGCUAGUAAUCGCUGGUU
Molecule: ribosomal RNA, 425 nt
Filed under: uncultured bacterium
Lineage: Bacteria
Description: bacterial SSU rRNA
Rfam family: Bacterial small subunit ribosomal RNA
Source: RNAcentral